AAGUCGUAACAAGGUAUCCGUAGGUGAACCUGCGGAUGGAUCAUUAACACAACCCCCAAAAAACUCUUGGGUCGGAAGCGAACCUCUUUUGGUUUUCUUCCUUCCCAUUGAAACCCCACUAUAUGCGAACUUGUCAACGGUCGGGAUGCCUUUGUGCAUUCCAGCCGUUCGUUUUUCCUCUCUUUCACUAUUAUUACAAUCAAAACCUAAACAACUUUGUCUAAAAAAAACUGGUUCUCUAUCUACGAAAGUAGUGUAGGAAACCAACUUAAAAAAAACUAAAAUACAACUUUUAACAACGGAUAUCUUGGCUCUC
Molecule: unclassified non-coding RNA, 316 nt
Filed under: fungal sp.
Lineage: Eukaryota; Fungi
Description: partial internal transcribed spacer region
Rfam family: Eukaryotic small subunit ribosomal RNA (bases 1-46)
Source: RNAcentral